UCCGAACCCGGAAGCUAAGCCCGAUUGCGCUGAUGGUACUGCACCUGGGAGGGUGUGGGAGAGUAGGUCGCCGCCAACC
This 79-nucleotide ribosomal RNA is filed under the name Corynebacterium diphtheriae bv. gravis. The record is from RNAcentral. Lineage: Bacteria; Bacillati; Actinomycetota; Actinomycetes; Mycobacteriales; Corynebacteriaceae.